CGGCGAGUGAACAGGGAUAAGCCCAGCGCAGAAUCCACAAUCGGAAGGUUGUUGGAAAUGUUGCGUUAAGGCUGGCACACAGCUGCAUUGAGUCUGCUGGAAGUUCCCUUGACUGGGGCUACCAUAGAGGGUGAAAGUCCUUUACCGGCGGACAAUGUGUGGCCGGUGCCAGCUUUCGAGUCGGGUUGUUUGAGAUUGCAGCCCAAAGUGGGUCGUAGACUCGAUCUAAGGCUAAAUAUGUGGUCAAUUCCGAUAGCGAACAAGUACAGUGAUGGAAAGAUGAAAAGAACUUUGGAGAGAGGGUUAAAAAGUGCGUGAAACCGCUUGAAGGAAAACGGUCACAGGCGUCAUAUGCUUGUCGGGGAAUCAGCUGGAAAGAAGGUCCUGUCAUAGCCGGUGUGACGUAUGAGCUCGUCGGAGUUUGGCAGGCGACAUUUCCCUCGCAAUUCUCUGCGGCGGCCAGUUGGAGACUGGGCUGGUCUGUGCUGCUGUUGUGUACUGCAACCGUUCGGCUGUGGAACGACAGUGGUGGCGCGGACCUGGCUUGGUCAGGUGCCUGCUGUGUUGGCAGCAGUGCGGAGGGCAAGGGCUCGGAUGCUGAUGCUGGGAUGCUAACUUGGUUUCAAGGUGGUGAUCUGGCGUUGGUGUCUGGCCUGGACGUCUCUACAUCGCACUAUGACUGGUUCGACGUCCUGUGUCCGACCCGUCUUGAAACACGGACCACGGAGUCUAACGCUCAAGCGAGUUAUCUGGCUGAAAGCCUGGAAAGCUGAAUGAAAGUGAAUGUAGGGGAGAUCCGGCCGCAAGGUUGGCGCAUCCCCGGCGCGUCUCAACUUCGCUUCGGUGAAGGAGGCGUAGCAAGAGCUUGAUCGUUGGGACCCGAAAGAUGGUGAACUAUGCCUGAGUAGGCUGAAGUCAGGGGAAACUCUGAUGGAAGGCCGUCGCGAUUC
This 950-nucleotide ribosomal RNA is filed under the name Austrognatharia sp. MVS-2005. RNAcentral describes it as "partial 28S ribosomal RNA". It matches the Rfam family "Eukaryotic large subunit ribosomal RNA", at positions 87 to 886 of the family's 3401-position model. The record is from RNAcentral. Lineage: Eukaryota; Metazoa; Gnathostomulida; Bursovaginoidea; Austrognathiidae.